UGGGAGAGGAUAACUGAUUUUUCUGAGUGC
RNAcentral lists this non-coding RNA (30 nucleotides) under Homo sapiens (human). Lineage: Eukaryota; Metazoa; Chordata; Mammalia; Primates; Hominidae. The record is from RNAcentral.